UGGGGAUUUAGCAGCCUCCCUGAAUUAAGACACACUCGUGUCCAAGGUCUGC
Molecule: non-coding RNA, 52 nt
Filed under: unclassified sequences
Description: chromate-resist RNA
Rfam family: chrB-b RNA
Source: RNAcentral